CGGGACGGGUGAGUAACGCGUGGAAAACCUGCCGUAUACUGGGGGAUAACACUUAGAAAUAGGUGCUAAUACCGCAUAAGCGCACAGCUUCGCAUGAAGCAGUGUGAAAAACUCCGGUGGUAUACGAUGGUUCCGCGUCUGAUUAGCUAGUUGGUGAGGUAAAAGCCCACCAAGGCGACGAUCAGUAGCCGGCCUGAGAGGGUGAACGGCCACAUUGGGACUGAGACACGGCCCAGACUCCUACGGGAGGCAGCAG
Molecule: ribosomal RNA, 256 nt
Filed under: uncultured bacterium
Lineage: Bacteria
Description: partial 16S ribosomal RNA
Rfam family: Bacterial small subunit ribosomal RNA
Source: RNAcentral